AGGGAAUCUUCCGCAAUGGACGAAAGUCUGACGGAGCAACGCCGCGUGAGUGAUGAAGGUUUUCGGAUCGUAAAGCUCUGUUGCCAGGGAAGAACGUCCGUUAGAGUAACUGCUAACGGAGUGACGGUACCUGAGAAGAAAGCCCCGGCUAACUACGUGCCAGCAGCCGCGGUAAUACGUAGGGGGCGAGCGUUGUCCGGAAUUAUUGGGCGUAAAGCGCGCGCAGGCGGCUGUUUAAGUCUGGUGGUUAAUCCUGGGGCUCAACCCUAGGUCGCACUGGAAACUGGACAGCUUGAGUGCAGAAGAGGAGAGUGGAAUUCCUCGUGUAGCGGUGAAAUGCGUAGAGAUGUGGAGGAACACCAGUGGCGAAGGCGGCUCUCUGGGCUGUAACUGACGCUGAGGCGCGAAAGCGUGGGGAGCAAAC
Molecule: ribosomal RNA, 424 nt
Filed under: uncultured bacterium
Lineage: Bacteria
Description: bacterial SSU rRNA
Rfam family: Bacterial small subunit ribosomal RNA
Source: RNAcentral